Molecule: ribosomal RNA, 1530 nt
Filed under: Escherichia coli
Lineage: Bacteria; Pseudomonadati; Pseudomonadota; Gammaproteobacteria; Enterobacterales; Enterobacteriaceae
Description: bacterial SSU rRNA
Rfam family: Bacterial small subunit ribosomal RNA
Source: RNAcentral
AGAGUUUGAUCAUGGCUCAGAUUGAACGCUGGCGGCAGGCCUAACACAUGCAAGUCGAACGGUAACAGGAAACAGCUUGCUGUUUCGCUGACGAGUGGCGGACGGGUGAGUAAUGUCUGGGAAGCUGCCUGAUGGAGGGGGAUAACUACUGGAAACGGUAGCUAAUACCGCAUAACGUCGCAAGACCAAAGAGGGGGACCUUCGGGCCUCUUGCCAUCGGAUGUGCCCAGAUGGGAUUAGCUAGUAGGUGGGGUAACGGCUCACCUAGGCGACGAUCCCUAGCUGGUCUGAGAGGAUGACCAGCCACACUGGAACUGAGACACGGUCCAGACUCCUACGGGAGGCAGCAGUGGGGAAUAUUGCACAAUGGGCGCAAGCCUGAUGCAGCCAUGCCGCGUGUAUGAAGAAGGCCUUCGGGUUGUAAAGUACUUUCAGCGGGGAGGAAGGGAGUAAAGUUAAUACCUUUGCUCAUUGACGUUACCCGCAGAAGAAGCACCGGCUAACUCCGUGCCAGCAGCCGCGGUAAUACGGAGGGUGCAAGCGUUAAUCGGAAUUACUGGGCGUAAAGCGCACGCAGGCGGUUUGUUAAGUCAGAUGUGAAAUCCCCGGGCUCAACCUGGGAACUGCAUCUGAUACUGGCAAGCUUGAGUCUCGUAGAGGGGGGUAGAAUUCCAGGUGUAGCGGUGAAAUGCGUAGAGAUCUGGAGGAAUACCGGUGGCGAAGGCGGCCCCCUGGACGAAGACUGACGCUCAGGUGCGAAAGCGUGGGGAGCAAACAGGAUUAGAUACCCUGGUAGUCCACGCCGUAAACGAUGUCGACUUGGAGGUUGUGCCCUUGAGGCGUGGCUUCCGGAGCUAACGCGUUAAGUCGACCGCCUGGGGAGUACGGCCGCAAGGUUAAAACUCAAAUGAAUUGACGGGGGCCCGCACAAGCGGUGGAGCAUGUGGUUUAAUUCGAUGCAACGCGAAGAACCUUACCUGGUCUUGACAUCCACAGAACUUUCCAGAGAUGGAUUGGUGCCUUCGGGAACUGUGAGACAGGUGCUGCAUGGCUGUCGUCAGCUCGUGUUGUGAAAUGUUGGGUUAAGUCCCGCAACGAGCGCAACCCUUAUCCUUUGUUGCCAGCGGUCCGGCCGGGAACUCAAAGGAGACUGCCAGUGAUAAACUGGAGGAAGGUGGGGAUGACGUCAAGUCAUCAUGGCCCUUACGACCAGGGCUACACACGUGCUACAAUGGCGCAUACAAAGAGAAGCGACCUCGCGAGAGCAAGCGGACCUCAUAAAGUGCGUCGUAGUCCGGAUUGGAGUCUGCAACUCGACUCCAUGAAGUCGGAAUCGCUAGUAAUCGUGGAUCAGAAUGCCACGGUGAAUACGUUCCCGGGCCUUGUACACACCGCCCGUCACACCAUGGGAGUGGGUUGCAAAAGAAGUAGGUAGCUUAACCUUCGGGAGGGCGCUUACCACUUUGUGAUUCAUGACUGGGGUGAAGUCGUAACAAGGUAACCGUAGGGGAACCUGCGGUUGGAUCACCU